GGGCAUUUAAGGCUGUUCUAGUGGCAGUGGGGCUGGCUCAGCAAAUCCGUGUCAGUCACUUUCCUCUCAUUUCUAAGUGUACUUUUGUGGCAUUUAAGCAGCCGAUGGUGACAUUGGUGUUGAUCUUUGCGGCUGCUACAGCCCUUACGGAGAGGAGGCACUGGGAGGGACCCAGGAGGGCAAGAGAUGUUUGAAGGUCCUUCCCCCGCAUCUUCUGCCGUUGCUUUUUGUUCGGUUUUGCAAAACAGGGAAAUAGUGACUUGAAGACGCCGCUCUCUGCCUUGUGCCAAAGAACCACAGUAUGCUGCUUUUAUUUUAUUUUUAUUUUUUUGGUAAGACUUGCUAAGAGGACUGAGAUGUUGCAGUUUUUUCUUAAAGAACCAUUUCCUUUGCCUUUAAAUAUAUACAUGAUUAUUUAACACACUGGUGUUAAGUUCAUUCUUGCUGCAAAAGAAGGCCAUUGUACUUCCUGACCCCGAAAGCAAGACCUUGGUACUUUGAGCAAAGGAGAGCCUUCACCUCCGUUCCACCAUUUGGUUUUGACAACCGUAGCAAAUAACUCUCUGCGUUCCUGUGGCCAACUGUUUGUGGCUGAGGGCAAAUCGUGGAAUGGAGACUGGUGGAAUUUCGCUGUGCUACAGAAAUUAGGAGCAACCACAACAUUAAAAGCAACAGCAGGUACCAUAAAUCUGAACUUUGGGAGGAAAAAAAAGAAUAAAAGUAAAACAUGUGGAUGUAUAGGCUGCUACGUUGCCAAGUUGAAGACAGUUUUCCUAAAAAACAACAAACAAGCCUUUCUACAAAGAAAUCAUAUUUUAUUUUGGAUUGCAUUUAAAAUGUGAAGGUACAAAGAAGAUUUCUAAACAAUUAAUCACUCAGUCAAUUUCUACAAAGCCAUUUCACCUCUUCAGGGCACUUCUUUUUUUACCACUAUUAAAAAAAAUACUUUCUUGGGGCUCCUGGGUGGCUCAGUCGGUUAAGU
This 982-nucleotide long non-coding RNA is filed under the name Felis catus (domestic cat). Its description in RNAcentral is "lncRNA (ENSFCAG00000051393.1)". Lineage: Eukaryota; Metazoa; Chordata; Mammalia; Carnivora; Felidae. The record is from RNAcentral.